RNA transcript from Brassica oleracea var. oleracea, 1884 nucleotides. It is a transcript of the gene named ataxin-3 homolog, with no coding region annotated. The transcript has 6 exons. Lineage: Eukaryota; Viridiplantae; Streptophyta; Magnoliopsida; Brassicales; Brassicaceae. The record is from RefSeq and is a predicted model, not a curated record.
UAAUAUUCUGUUUAUUAACCUCCGAUCUCCCGUUGCUUCUUCAUCUCUCGCUUCCUAAUUGCUUCAAGGCAAAGACUUUCGCAUCGCUUCAUGAUAUAAAGCAGAGGAAUCUAGGGUUUAUGGAGCGAACGAGCAACGGAGGGAUGUUGUACCACGAGGUUCAGGAAGCUAAUCUAUGCGCCGUUCACUGCGUCAAUACCGUCCUGCAGGGACCCUUCUUCUCCGAGUUUGAUUUGGCCGCCGUCGCUGCCGAUCUCGACGGGAAGGAGCGUCAGGUCAUGCUCGAAGGCGCCGCCACCGGAAACUUCGCCGCCGGCGAUUUCUUCUCGGAGGAGUCUCACAAUGUUUCCCUCGGCGGCGAUUUCAGUAUCCAGGUCUUGCAGAAGGCUUUGGAAGUGUGGGAUUUACAAGUGAUUCCACUCAACUGUCCCGAUGCAGAGCCUGCGCAGAUAGACCCCGAGCUUGAAAACGCCUUCAUCUGCCACUUACAUGACCAUUGGUUUUGCAUAAGGAGAGUGGGCGGCGAAUGGUAUAACUUCGACAGCCUCCUCGCGGCACCGCAACACCUAUCGAAGUUCUACCUUUCUGCGUUUCUCGACUCUCUGAAAGGCUCAGGAUGGAGUAUCUUCAUAGUGAAAGGAAACUUCCCGCAGGAGUGUCCCAUGUCGUCUUCUUCUGAAGCUUCCAACGCUUUUGGACAGUGGCUUUCGCCUGAAGACGCAGAGAGAAUACUAAAGGAGACAAGCUCGACACGGAGUUCUUCUUCUACUGUAAACUAUAGAAGUAGUGACAAUGUCGAUCAGCAAAGACCGUAUCAGGCGUUGUCAAGUGACGAAGUACGAACUUUUUCAGAGAUGGAAGAUGAUGACUUGAAGGCAGCGAUUGCAGCGAGUUUGUUAGAUGCUUCUGCGGCUGGAGCCAAUCUUGGAGCUGUUGGGACUACUUCUCAAAGGGAGGAAACUGGGAAACAAAAGUAGCAGAGAAAACAGAGAACAAUGCUGUAUUGAUGAAGAGUGGAAAUACAAAUAUCUUGGUAAAAGUUGAGAUCUGAGAAAAUCUGAAUCCAAGGUUGCUGAUCUUUCUUCUCAAAUGGGUUCUUCUUUGGAGAAGUUGUUCAACAGAUAGAGGGUACAUGAGAGUCUGGGAGGGGGCAAUGUUUCAGAUGUGAUGCUGUGGAGGGAGAAGAAUAUGAGUGUUAGUAUAGUGACAGUAACAAUAGGAUCAUGGAUGGUGUUUGAGACAUUUUCUUACACCAUCCUCUCUCUUCUUUCAAGUGUUCUUUUCCUCCCGCUCUCUAUUUUCUUCCUCUGGUCCAAUUCUGCAUCCAUCCUCAACAGGCCAUCACCGCCACCAUUGCCGGAGUUUCAUAUAACUGAAGCAAUGACUAAAGAAGCGUCCAAGUUGUUACGCAUCCAUUUGAAUAAACUGUUUCAAGUCUCGCAUGACAUUGCAAUGGGAAGAGACUCAGAGUUGUUUAUCAAAGUAGCCAUCUCUCAGUUUCUCGUCUCAUUCAUCGGAAGCCUCAUGGAUUUUCAAACACUUUGCCAUACCGGGGUUUAGUGGUUAUGACAGUUCCUACUUUCUAUGAGAGAUACGAGGUUUACAUAGAUAUAUCACUAUUGCUCAUCUACAACAGAGCUAAAGAGCUUUACCUUAGGUUCCAGAUAUGGGCUCAUCCGGAAAAUGAGAAACUAAGCUGAAACUCUCAUGUAAAUAUUGAUAAAUGUUUGAAUGGUACAGCCAAAAUAUGAGCUACCCACAGAAAUUUUAUUUCAAAGUUUUGCUUGAAAACUACUACUCUGUUCCAAGAACAGUGUUAGAUGAAGUUCUGGAUGAUACUAGUCCUCUCUCGACCACCAAAGUUAAGAAGAAAACAUUGGUGCU